This 20-nucleotide small nuclear RNA is filed under the name Arabidopsis thaliana (thale cress). RNAcentral describes it as "snRNA_02340". Lineage: Eukaryota; Viridiplantae; Streptophyta; Magnoliopsida; Brassicales; Brassicaceae. The record is from RNAcentral.
CUGAUAAAAAUCAAGAGAGU